UCAGGACGAACGCUGGCGGCGUGCUUAACACAUGCAAGUGGAGCGACGAACCAGGGCUUGCCCUGGGGCAAAGCCGCGAACGGGUGAGUAACACGUGGGUAACCUGCCCCGAAGACCGGGACAACCCGAGGAAACUCGGGCUAAUACCGGAUGUGAUCGCUCUUCACAGGAAGAACGAACAAAGGGAGCUUCGGCCCCCGCUUCGGGAUGGGCCCGCGGCCCAUUAGCUUGUUGGUGAGGUAACGGCUCACCAAGGCUUCGAUGGGUAGCUGGUCUGAGAGGACGAUCAGCCACACUGGGACUGAGACACGGCCCAGACUCCUACGGGAGGCAGCAGUGGGGAAUCUUGCGCAAUGGGCGACAGCCUGACGCAGCAACGCCGCGUGAGGGAAGAAGGCUUUCGGGUCGUAAACCUCUUUCAGGAGGGACGAAGCUUCGGGGGUGAAUAGCUCUCCGGAGUGACGGUACCUCCACAAGAAGCCCCGGCUAACUACGUGCCAGCAGCCGCGGUAAUACAGAGGUCCCGAGCGUUGUUUGGAUUCACUGGGCGUAAAGGGUGCGUAGGUGGCCUGGUAAGUUUGAUGUGAAAGCUCAGGGCUUAACCCUGAAAUGGCAUUGAAUACUACUGUGCUGGAGGUUUGGAGGGGGGACUGGAAUUCUCGGUGUAGCAGUGAAAUGCGUAGAUAUCGAGAGGAACACCAGUGGCGAAGGCGAGUCCCUGGACAACACCUGACACUGAGGCACGAAAGCCGGGGGAGCAAACAGGAUUAGAUACCCUGGUAGUCCCGGCCCUAAACGGUGCACGUUUGCUGUAAGAGGAAUCGACCCCUUUUGUGGCGAAGCUAACGCGAUAAACGUGCCGCCUGGGGAGUACGGUCGCAAGAUUAAAACUCAAAGAAAUUGACGGGGGCCUGCACAAGCGGUGGAGUAUGUGGCUUAAUUCGAUGCAACGCGAAGAACCUUACCUGGCCUUGACAUGCAUUUGGUAGAACCAUGAAAGUGGGACGACCCCGCAAGGGGAGGAUGCACAGGUGCUGCAUGGCUGUCGUCAGCUCGUGUCGUGAGAUGUUGGGUUAAGUCCCGCAACGAGCGCAACCCUUAUGUCCUGUUGCCACUCCUACGAGAGUAGGGAGCACUCUGGACAGACUGCCUCGCUUAAACGGGGAGGAAGGUGGGGAUGACGUCAAGUCAGUAUGGCCCUUACGGCCAGGGCUGCACACGUACUACAAUGCCCGGUACAAAGGGAAGCAAGACCGUCAGGUGGAGCAAAUCCCACAAAACCGGGCCCAGUUCAGAUUGUCGUCCGCAACUCGACGGCAUGAAGUUGGAAUCGCUAGUAAUGGCGCAUCAGCUACGGCGCCGUGAUAUAAACCCAGGCGUUUACACACCGCCCGUCAGGCGAUUCG
RNAcentral lists this ribosomal RNA (1406 nucleotides) under uncultured bacterium. RNAcentral describes it as "partial 16S ribosomal RNA". It matches the Rfam family "Bacterial small subunit ribosomal RNA". The record is from RNAcentral.